Molecule: ribosomal RNA, 424 nt
Filed under: Fusobacteriota bacterium
Lineage: Bacteria; Fusobacteriati; Fusobacteriota
Description: Fusobacteria bacterium partial 16S ribosomal RNA
Rfam family: Bacterial small subunit ribosomal RNA
Source: RNAcentral
UGAGGAAUAUUGGUCAAUGGGCGAGAGCCUGAACCAGCCAAGUAGCGUGCAGGAUGACGGCCCUAUGGGUUGUAAACUGCUUUUAUGUGGGGAUAAAGUGCGUGACGUGUCAUGCAUUGCAGGUACCACAUGAAUAAGGACCGGCUAAUUCCGUGCCAGCAGCCGCGGUAAUACGGAAGGUCCGGGGGUUAUCCGGAUCUAUUGGGUUUAAAGGGAGCGUAGGCUGUCUAUUAAGCGUGUUGUGAAAUUUACCGGCUCAACCGGUGGCUUGCAGCGCGAACUGGUCGACUUGAGUAUGCAGGAAGUAGGCGGAAUUCAUGGUGUAGCGGUGAAAUGCUUAGAUAUCAUGACGAACUCCGAUUGCGCAGGCAGCUUACUGUAGCAUAACUGACGCUGAUGCUCGAAAGUGCGGGUAUCAAACAGG